RNAcentral lists this small nuclear RNA (107 nucleotides) under Choloepus hoffmanni (Hoffmann's two-fingered sloth). The record is from RNAcentral. Lineage: Eukaryota; Metazoa; Chordata; Mammalia; Pilosa; Megalonychidae.
GUGCUUGCUUCAGCAGCACAUACUCUAAAAUUGUAUUAAUACGUAGAAGAUUAGCAUGGCCCCUGUGAGAAGAUGGCAUGUAAAUUUGUGAGACAUGCCAUACUAUC